GAUGAACGCUAGCGGCAGGCCUAAUACAUGCAAGUCGGACGGGAUUCAGGAGCUUGCUUCUGAUGAGAGUGGCACGGGUGCGUAACACGUAUGUAACCUACCUUUAUCAGGGGGAUAGCCUCUCGAAAGAGAGAUUAAGCCCGCAUAAAAUCACAGCACAGCAUUGUGUAAUGAUCAAAUAUUUAUAGGAUAAAGAUGGGCAUGCGGAACAUUAGCUAGAUGGCGGGGUAACGGCCCACCAUGGCGACGAUGUUUAGGGGAUCUGAGAGGAUGGCCCCCCACACUGGUACUGAGACACGGACCAGACUCCUACGGGAGGCAGCAGUAAGGAAUAUUGGUCAAUGGGCGGAAGCCUGAACCAGCCAUGCCGCGUGCAGGAAGACGGCCCUACGGGUUGUAAACUGCUUUUAGACGGGAAUAAACCCAGAUACGCGUAUCUGGCUGAAUGUACUGUAAGAAUAAGGAUCGGCUAACCCCGUG
This 480-nucleotide ribosomal RNA is filed under the name uncultured bacterium. RNAcentral's name for it is "partial 16S ribosomal RNA". It matches the Rfam family "Bacterial small subunit ribosomal RNA", at positions 28 to 507 of the family's 1533-position model. The record is from RNAcentral.